UCGUCGCGAAAGUGCUGGGUGCACCGGAUGUGCUGCCACCACGUCCCGAAGGGUCCGAACGUGCCAUUGCGCCGUUCGAUUCGGCGCGAAAAAC
This 94-nucleotide transfer RNA is filed under the name Alphaproteobacteria bacterium ADurb.BinA280. Its description in RNAcentral is "tRNA-Gly". Lineage: Bacteria; Pseudomonadati; Pseudomonadota; Alphaproteobacteria. The record is from RNAcentral.